Molecule: unclassified non-coding RNA, 276 nt
Filed under: uncultured fungus
Lineage: Eukaryota; Fungi
Also listed under: 1 other name
Description: partial contains 5.8S ribosomal RNA, internal transcribed spacer 2, and large subunit ribosomal RNA
Rfam family: 5.8S ribosomal RNA (bases 1-52)
Source: RNAcentral
AACGCACCUUGCACUCUUUGGUAUUCCGAAGAGUAUGUCUGUUUGAGUGUCAUGAACUCUUCAACCUAAUAGUAUUUUAUAUACUGCUAGGCUUGGUUUCUGGGGUGUACUCUUUAUGGAGUUGCCCCGUAAUGCAUUAGCCAAACUCAAUUCAUCUCGAAAUUGACUCUGUGUAAUAGACUAUUCGCAGAGGAGAGAUCAUGAGUUGGCUACUAAUCAACUUAGGUCCAUUUUAAUUUAGACCUCAAAUCAGAUAGGAUUACCCGCUGAACUUAA